Molecule: non-coding RNA, 30 nt
Filed under: Mus musculus (house mouse)
Lineage: Eukaryota; Metazoa; Chordata; Mammalia; Rodentia; Muridae
Source: RNAcentral
UGCACUUAACUGAUCCAGAGGAUUGCUACA